CCUAGUAACGGCGAGUGAAGCGGCAACAGCUCAAAUUUGAAAUCUGGCUCUUUAGAGUCCGAGUUGUAAUUUGUAGAGGAUGCUUUUGGCGCGGUGCCUUCCGAGUUCCCUGGAACGGGACGCCUUAGAGGGUGAGAGCCCCGUACGGUUGGACACCAAGCCUCUGUAAAGCUCCUUCGACGAGUCGAGUAGUUUGGGAAUGCUGCUCUAAAUGGGAGGUAAAUUUCUUCUAAAGCUAAAUAUUGGCCAGAGACCGAUAGCGCACAAGUAGAGUGAUCGAAAGAUGAAAAGCACUUUGAAAAGAGGGUUAAAUAGCACGUGAAAUUGUUGAAAGGGAAGCGUUUGCGACCAGACCUUUUCCUAGCGGAUCAUCCGGUGUUCUUCACCGGUGCACUUCGCUAGGUCGAGGCCAGCAUCGGUUUCUGCAGGGGGAUAAAAGCCCAGGGAACGUAGCUCUUUCGGGAGUGUUAUAGCCCUCCGCAUAAUACCCUUGCGGGGACCGAGGACCGCGCUUUUCGCAAGGAUGCUGGCGUAAUGGUCGUCAACGACCCGUCUUGAAACACGGACCAAGGAGUCGAACAUUUGUGCGAGUGUUUGGGUGUUAAACCCUCACGCGCAAUGAAAGUGAACGGAGGUGAGAGCCCUUACGGGUGCAUCAUCGACCGAUCCUGAUGUCUUCGGAUGGAUUUGAGUAAGAGCAUAACUGUUCGGACCCGAAAGAUGGUGAACUAUGCGUGGAUAGGGUGAAGCCAGAGGAAACUCUGGUGGAGGCUCGCAGCGGUUCUGACGUGCAAAUCGAUCGUCAAAUCUGCGCAUGGGGG
This 821-nucleotide ribosomal RNA is filed under the name Nemania diffusa. Its description in RNAcentral is "partial large subunit ribosomal RNA". It matches the Rfam family "Eukaryotic large subunit ribosomal RNA", at positions 79 to 923 of the family's 3401-position model. The record is from RNAcentral. Lineage: Eukaryota; Fungi; Ascomycota; Sordariomycetes; Xylariales; Xylariaceae.